This 440-nucleotide ribosomal RNA is filed under the name uncultured bacterium. RNAcentral's name for it is "partial 16S ribosomal RNA". It matches the Rfam family "Bacterial small subunit ribosomal RNA", at positions 338 to 795 of the family's 1533-position model. The record is from RNAcentral.
CCUACGGGAGGCAGCAGUAGGGAAUAUUGCUCAAUGGGGGAAACCCUGAAGCAGCAACGCCGCGUGGAGGAUGAAGGUUUUCGGAUUGUAAACUCCUUUUGUUAGAGAAGAUAAUGACGGUAUCUAACGAAUAAGCACCGGCUAACUCCGUGCCAGCAGCCGCGGUAAUACGGAGGGUGCAAGCGUUACUCGGAAUCACUGGGCGGAAAGAGCGCGUAGGCGGGAUAGCAAGUCAGAUGUGAAAUCCUAUGGCUUAACCAUAGAACUGCAUUUGAAACUGUUAUUCUAGAGUAUGGGAGGGGUAGGUGGAAUUCUUGGUGUAGGGGUAAAAUCCGUAGAGAUCAAGAGGAAUACUCAUUGCGAAGGCGACCUGCUAGAACAUAACUGACGCUGAUGCGCGAAAGCGUGGGGAGCAAACAGGAUUAGAUACCCCAGUAGUC